GGUUGUGUAGUGUAGCGGUUAUCACUUCAGAUUUUGAGUCCUAUCAAAGGUUCUGAUAACCCCGGUUCGAAUCCGGGCACGACCU
This 85-nucleotide transfer RNA is filed under the name Pseudocercospora eumusae. Its description in RNAcentral is "Mycosphaerella eumusae tRNA". It matches the Rfam family "tRNA". From Rfam's summary of the family: Transfer RNA (tRNA) molecules are approximately 80 nucleotides in length. Their secondary structure includes four short double-helical elements and three loops (D, anti-codon, and T loops). Lineage: Eukaryota; Fungi; Ascomycota; Dothideomycetes; Mycosphaerellales; Mycosphaerellaceae. The record is from Rfam by way of RNAcentral.